UGGGGAAUAUUGCACAAUGGGCGCAAGCCUGAUGCAGCGACGCCGCGUGAGGGAUGACGGCCUUCGGGUUGUAAACCUCUUUCAGCUCCGACGAAGCGCAAGUGACGGUAGGAGCAGAAGAAGCACCGGCCAACUACGUGCCAGCAGCCGCGGUAAUACGUAGGGUGCAAGCGUUGUCCGGAAUUACUGGGCGUAAAGAGCUCGUAGGCGGUUUGUCGCGUCGUCUGUGAAAUUCUGCAGCUUAACUGCAGGCGUGCAGGCGAUACGGGCAGACUUGAGUACUACAGGGGAGACUGGAAUUCCUGGUGUAGCGGUGAAAUGCGCAGAUAUCAGGAGGAACACCGGUGGCGAAGGCGGGUCUCUGGGUAGUAACUGACGCUGAGGAGCGAAAGCGUGGGUAGCGAACAGGAUUAGAUACCCUGGUAGUCCACGCCGUAAACGGUGGGUACUAGGUGUGGGUUCCUUUUCACGGAAUCCGUGCCGUAGCUAACGCAUUAAGUACCCCGCCUGGGGAGUACGGCCGCAAGGCUA
RNAcentral lists this ribosomal RNA (531 nucleotides) under uncultured Actinomycetes bacterium. RNAcentral's name for it is "bacterial SSU rRNA". It matches the Rfam family "Bacterial small subunit ribosomal RNA", at positions 355 to 896 of the family's 1533-position model. Lineage: Bacteria; Bacillati; Actinomycetota; Actinomycetes. The record is from RNAcentral.